This 660-nucleotide long non-coding RNA is filed under the name Sus scrofa (pig). Its description in RNAcentral is "lncRNA (ENSSSCG00040026927.1)". Lineage: Eukaryota; Metazoa; Chordata; Mammalia; Artiodactyla; Suidae. The record is from RNAcentral.
AGGGUUUCCUUUGCUGUGCAGAAACUUUUAAGUUCGAUUAGGUCCCAGCCUUUGUUUUAAUCUGUUGAUUGGUAACUAGAACUGGAGUCAAAACAGAGAAGGUAAAUUGGAGUAAAUGAAAUACUUUGUCAGAAGAUUUAGAAUAGACAUUAACAUCACUUCUCACAGUGCUAACUCUCUGCACAGGUGUCUGGAUUCCAUGCUCUGGUGUGACUGUGACUCACUGUGGCUGUGCCCGAGGCCACCAUGUGGGACCCCCAGCCACCCUGCGGACGGCCGCAUGUGCUGGUUCCAGCAGAGGAAUUCAGCUGUGCCAACUGCAGCUCCCAGGAGGAAAGGAAACAAAGAGUUUUUGGCGCACAUAAUGCCUGUCAUAUUGUGGGUUUAAAAAUAUAUUUACCAAGGAAGAUGACUGAGUAAUUACCAUUUGCGUGAUGAAAACAUAAUUGGACGAAGAAAAUGCUACUAUAGUUACUGUCACGUGAGUCUCAGUUUGUUAAAUGAAGAGAUCAGUGUGAUGUGCCAUGAACAUAAAAAUAAGCAAAAUGGAACAGAGUAAAUGGAUUCCAAAGUCAUUACAUUUUAUUCUGUAUGACACAGGAAGCAUCACUUGCCAUUGAGAAUUAAAUGGGUAUUAAAUAAACUGAUAUUUACAUAACU